RNAcentral lists this ribosomal RNA (465 nucleotides) under Vreelandella stevensii. RNAcentral's name for it is "partial 16S ribosomal RNA". It matches the Rfam family "Bacterial small subunit ribosomal RNA", at positions 338 to 795 of the family's 1533-position model. The record is from RNAcentral. Lineage: Bacteria; Pseudomonadati; Pseudomonadota; Gammaproteobacteria; Oceanospirillales; Halomonadaceae.
CCUACGGGUGGCUGCAGUGGGGAAUAUUGGACAAUGGGGGCAACCCUGAUCCAGCCAUGCCGCGUGUGUGAAGAAGGCCCUCGGGUUGUAAAGCACUUUCAGUGAGGAAGAACGCCUGGUGGUUAAUACCCAUCAGGAAAGACAUCACUCACAGAAGAAGCACCGGCUAACUCCGUGCCAGCAGCCGCGGUAAUACGGAGGGUGCGAGCGUUAAUCGGAAUUACUGGGCGUAAAGCGCGCGUAGGUGGCUUGAUAAGCCGGUUGUGAAAGCCCCGGGCUCAACCUGGGAACGGCAUCCGGAACUGUCAAGCUAGAGUGCAGGAGAGGAAGGUAGAAUUCCCGGUGUAGCGGUGAAGUGCGUAGAGAUCGGGAGGAAUACCAGUGGCGAUGGCGGCCUUCUGGACUGACACUGACACUGAGGUGCGAAAGCGUGGGUAGCAAACAGGAUUAGAUACCCGGGUAGUC